AUUGAACGCUGGCGGCAGGCUUAACACAUGCAAGUCGAGCGGAGAUGAGGUGCUUGCACCCUAUCUUAGCGGCGGACGGGUGAGUAAUGCUUAGGAAUCUGCCUAUUAGUGGGGGACAACAUUCCGAAAGGAAUGCUAAUACCGCAUACGUCCUACGGGAGAAAGCAGGGGAUCUUCGGACCUUGCGCUAAUAGAUGAGCCUAAGUCGGAUUAGCUAGUUGGUGGGGUAGAGGCCUACCAAGGCGACGAUCUGUAGCGGGUCUGAGAGGAUGAUCCGCCACACUGGGACUGAGACACGGCCCAGACUCCUACGGGAGGUAGCAGUGGGGAAUAUUGGACAAUGGGGGAAACCCUGAUCCAGCCAUGCCGCGUGUGUGAAGAAGGCCUUAUGGUUGUAAAGCACUUUAAGCGAGGAGGAGGCUACUGAGACUAAUACUCUUGGAUAGUGGACGUUACUCGCAGAAUAAGCACCGGCUAACUCUGUGCCAGCCGCCGCCGUAA
RNAcentral lists this ribosomal RNA (501 nucleotides) under uncultured bacterium. RNAcentral's name for it is "partial 16S ribosomal RNA". It matches the Rfam family "Bacterial small subunit ribosomal RNA", at positions 30 to 523 of the family's 1533-position model. The record is from RNAcentral.